GACGAACGCUGGCGGCGUGCUUAACACAUGCAAGUCGAACGGAGUGGCGAGCGGGUGAGUAACACGUGGGUGACCUGCCCUGCACUUCGGGAUAAGCACGGGGAACGGGGUCUAAUAACGGAUAGUGUGGGAUGGGCCCGCGGCCUAUCAGCUUGUUGGUGGGGUAAUGGCCUACCAAGGCGGCGACGGAUAGUCGGCCUGAGAGGGUGGACGGCCACAUGGGGACUGAGACACGGCCCAGUCUCCUACGUGGGGCAGCGGUGGUGAGUGUUGCUCAAUGGGCGGGAGCCUGAUGCAGCGACGCCGCGUGGGGGAUGACGGCCUUCGGGUUGUAAACUCCUUUCACCAUCGACGCGGUAGAUGGAGAAGAAGCACCGGCUAACUACGUGCCAGCAGCCGCGGUAAUUC
This 408-nucleotide ribosomal RNA is filed under the name uncultured bacterium. RNAcentral's name for it is "partial 16S ribosomal RNA". It matches the Rfam family "Bacterial small subunit ribosomal RNA", at positions 28 to 526 of the family's 1533-position model. The record is from RNAcentral.